This 23-nucleotide non-coding RNA is filed under the name Arabidopsis thaliana (thale cress). The record is from RNAcentral. Lineage: Eukaryota; Viridiplantae; Streptophyta; Magnoliopsida; Brassicales; Brassicaceae.
UUGGGAAACUACAAACAAACCUA